UACGAAGGGGGCUAGCGUUGCUCGGAAUCACUGGGCGUAAAGCGCACGUAGGCGGCUUCUUAAGUCAGGGGUGAAAUCCUGGAGCUCAACUCCAGAACUGCCUUUGAUACUGAGGAGCUUGAGUCCGGGAGAGGUGAGUGGAACUGCGAGUGUAGAGGUGAAAUUCGUAGAUAUUCGCAAGAACACCAGUGGCGAAGGCGGCUCACUGGCCCGGUACUGACGCUGAGGUGCGAAAGCGUGGGGAGCGAACAGG
Molecule: ribosomal RNA, 253 nt
Filed under: uncultured bacterium
Lineage: Bacteria
Description: partial 16S ribosomal RNA
Rfam family: Bacterial small subunit ribosomal RNA
Source: RNAcentral